Molecule: ribosomal RNA, 401 nt
Filed under: uncultured Anaerolineaceae bacterium
Lineage: Bacteria; Bacillati; Chloroflexota; Anaerolineae; Anaerolineales; Anaerolineaceae
Description: bacterial SSU rRNA
Rfam family: Bacterial small subunit ribosomal RNA
Source: RNAcentral
AGGGAAUAUUAGUAAUGGGCGAAAGCCUGAACUAGCAACGCCGCGUGUGCGAAGAAGGCCUUCGGGUUGUAAAGCACUUUUUGAGAGGAUGAGGAAGGACGGUACUCUCAGAAUAAGUCUCGGCUAACUACGUGCCAGCAGCCGCGGUAACACGUAGGAGGCGAACGUUAUCCGGAUUUACUGGGCGUAAAGCGCGUGUAGGUGGUUUGGUAAGUAGGGCGUGAAAGCUCCUGGCUCAACUGGGAGAGGCCGUUCUAAACUGCCGAACUAGAGGAUGGUAGAGGGAGGUGGAAUUCCGGGUGUAGCGGUGGAAUGCGCAGAUAUCCGGAGGAACACCAGUGGCGAAAGCGGCCUCCUGGACCACUCCUGACACUCAGACGCGAAAGCUAGGGUAGCAAACG